Molecule: ribosomal RNA, 440 nt
Filed under: uncultured bacterium
Lineage: Bacteria
Description: partial 16S ribosomal RNA
Rfam family: Bacterial small subunit ribosomal RNA
Source: RNAcentral
CCUACGGGAGGUAGCAGUGGGGAAUAUUGCACAAUGGGGGAAACCCUGAUGCAGCGACGCCGCGUGAGUGAAGAAGUAUUUCGGUAUGUAAAGCUCUAUCAGCAGGGAAGAAAAUGACGGUACCUGACUAAGCAGCCCCGGCUAACUACGUUCCAGCAGCCGCGGUCAUACGUAGGGGGCAAGCGUUAUCCGGAUUUACUGGGUGUAAAGGGAGCGUAGACGGUGAUGCAAGUCAGAAGGGAAAGCCCGGGGCUCAACUCCGGGACUGCUUUUGAAACUGUGUAACUGGAGUGCAGGAGAGGUAAGCGGAAUUCCAGGUGUAGGAGUGAAAUCCGGAGAAAUCUGGAGGAACAUCAGUGGCGAAGGCGACUAGCUGGCACAUAACUGACGCUGAGGAGCGAAAGCGUGGGUAGCAAACAGGAUUAGAUACCCUGGUAGUC